UACGUAGGGAGCGAGCGUUGUCCGGAUUUACUGGGUGUAAAGGGUGCGUAGGCGGGUUUGCAAGUCAGGCGUGAAAUACCGAGGCUUAACUUCGGAGCUGCGCUUGAAACUGUAAAUCUUGAGUGAAGUAGAGGCAGGCGGAAUUCCCAGUGUAGCGGUGAAAUGCGUAGAUAUUGGGAGGAACACCAGUGGCGAAGGCGGCCUGCUGGGCUUUAACUGACGCUGAGGCACGAAAGUAUGGGGAGCAAAC
This 250-nucleotide ribosomal RNA is filed under the name uncultured prokaryote. RNAcentral's name for it is "partial 16S ribosomal RNA". It matches the Rfam family "Bacterial small subunit ribosomal RNA", at positions 524 to 773 of the family's 1533-position model. The record is from RNAcentral.